AACGUAGGACACGAGCGUUAUCCGGAGUUACUGGGCGUAAAGGGCGGGUAGGUGGUGCGAUAAGACUGGUGUGAAAGCCUUCGGCUUAACCGAGGGAGGACACUGGUGACUGUCGGACUUGAGGCAGAUAGAGGGGUGUAGAAUUCCGGGUGUAGUGGUGAAAUGCGUAGGGAUCCGGAGGAAUACCAGAGGCGAAGGCGGCACCCUGGGUCUGACCUGACACUGAUCCGCGACAGCAUGGGGAGCGAACGGG
RNAcentral lists this ribosomal RNA (253 nucleotides) under uncultured bacterium. Its description in RNAcentral is "partial 16S ribosomal RNA". It matches the Rfam family "Bacterial small subunit ribosomal RNA", at positions 524 to 776 of the family's 1533-position model. The record is from RNAcentral.